CUUAGCCCUCCUGCACUUAAUGUACCUCCAGUUGCAAGGCCAAAAAGGCCUAGAUCCAGUAUUUUGCCCACAUCUCCUGAUUCAUCUGUCCUUACUAGGGAAGGUGGAUAUCUCAUCCCGAUCUUUUCCAUUCAGUAUCUUGUGCACCUAGGGGUGGGCAUUCAGUAUUUCGGUUCGGUUCGGUUUUUUUUUCGGUUUUUUCGGUUUUUUUUUUUAAAAUUACGUACCGAAUACCGAACCGAAAUAUUUCGGUUCGGUUCGGUUUUUGUUAAUUCGGUUCGGUUUUUAUUAAUUUGGUUCGGUUUUUUAUUUCGGUUCGGCUGCUCCUGCUGGCUGCUGCGGCUGGUUGCUGCGGCUGGCUGCUGCGGCUGGCUGCUGCGGCUGGCUGCUGCGGCUGGCUGCUACUGCUGUCUGCUGCGGCUGGCUGCUACUGCUGCUGCUGGCUGCUGCUCGACGGCUGCUACUGCUGCAGCUGGCUGCUGCUCGACGAGGACGGCGGCUGAAGAAUGAAGAAAAGAGGAUGAAGUUGAAGAGAGAGGAAGAGGAUGAAGUUGAAGAGAGAGGAUGAAGUUGAAGAGAGAGGAAGAGGAUGAAGUUGAAGAGAGAGGAUGAAGUUGAAGAGUGAAGAGGAUUAGGGUAUUAGGGAUUUAGAGUUUUUUAUUUUUUUAAAAAAAUUAUUUAAUAUUAAUAAUUAUUAAAUAUAAUAUAAUUUAUAAAUUAAAAUAAUAAUAUUUCGGUUUAAACCGAAAUACCGAAUUUCAAACUAAUACGUACCGAAAACCGAACCGAAAUACCGAAAAUACAAAAAAAUAAACCGAAUACCGAACCGAAAACCAAAAAAACCGAAACUGAAAUUUUAAAAAAUUUCGGUUCGGUUCGGUGUUUCGGUUUUCCGGUGUUUAUGCCCACCCCUAUGUGCACCGCUUAUAAGUCUUGUUUUCGAGUUAAGUAAUUGUCAUGUACUUUCUUAUUUUUUGUUUAAGGUUCAUCAAGAGCGACAGCAGACCAUUCCCAAGCCAGUGGGUUUCCGAGGGUCUUGCAAGGUCAAGAGUUAUCGACCUUUAGAGGCG
RNAcentral lists this long non-coding RNA (1070 nucleotides) under Solanum lycopersicum (tomato). Its description in RNAcentral is "long non-coding RNA (SLYC_LNC001394)". The record is from RNAcentral. Lineage: Eukaryota; Viridiplantae; Streptophyta; Magnoliopsida; Solanales; Solanaceae.